RNAcentral lists this ribosomal RNA (895 nucleotides) under uncultured bacterium. RNAcentral's name for it is "bacterial SSU rRNA". It matches the Rfam family "Bacterial small subunit ribosomal RNA", at positions 9 to 916 of the family's 1533-position model. The record is from RNAcentral.
GAGUUUGAUCAUGGCUCAGGACGAACGCUGGCGGCAUGCCUAACACAUGCAAGUCGAACGAAUUGUUUCCUUCGGGGAACAGUUAGUGGCGAACGGGUGAGUAAUGCAUGAGCAAUCUGCCCCUAACAACGGGAUAACUCCUAGAAAUAGGUGCUAAUACGGUAUAAGACCACGCUGUCGCAUGACAGCGCGGUAAAAGCGAUUUAGCGGUUAGGGAUGAGCUCAUGUCCCAUUAGCUAGUUGGUGAGAUAAUAGCCCACCAAGGCGACGAUGGGUAGCCGACUUGAGAGAGUGAUCGGCCACAUUGGGACUGAAACACGGCCCAGACUCCUACGGGAGGCAGCAGUGGGGAAUAUUGGGCAAUGGAGGAAACUCUGACCCAGCAAUGCCGCGUGAGUGAUGAAGGUAAUUUUAUUGUAAAGCUCUUUUCUCGGGAACGAAGAAAAUGACGGUACCCGAGGAAUAAGCCCCGGCUAACUACGUGCCAGCAGCCGCGGUAAUACGUAGGGGGCGAGCGUUGUUCGGAAUUACUGGGCGUAAAGGGUGUGUAGGCGGUUUGAUAAGUUAGAAGUGUAAUACCCAGGGCUUAACUCGGGUGCUGCUUCUAAAACUGUCAGACUUGAGUGCAGGAGAGGUAAGUGGAAUUCCUAGUGUAGCGGUGGAAUGCGUAGAUAUUAGGAGGAACAUCAGUGGCGAAGGCGACUUACUGGACUGUAACUGACGCUGAGGCACGAAAGCGUGGGGAGCAAACAGGAUUAGAUACCCUGGUAGUCCACGCCGUAAACGAUGGAUACUAGAUGCAGGGGGUAUUGACUCCUCCUGUGUCGCAGCUAACGCAAUAAGUAUCCCGCCUGGGGAGUACGGCCGCAAGGUUGAAACUCAAAUGAAUUGACGG